Molecule: non-coding RNA, 24 nt
Filed under: Cricetulus griseus (Chinese hamster)
Lineage: Eukaryota; Metazoa; Chordata; Mammalia; Rodentia; Cricetidae
Source: RNAcentral
CCGCCAUCGUGUGUCGUUCUCCUG